This 247-nucleotide long non-coding RNA is filed under the name Lupinus angustifolius (narrow-leaved blue lupine). Its description in RNAcentral is "long non-coding RNA (LANG_LNC003539)". The record is from RNAcentral. Lineage: Eukaryota; Viridiplantae; Streptophyta; Magnoliopsida; Fabales; Fabaceae.
CGCAAUGUUUUUUAGAAGUAUUUUUCGUGUUACAGCAAGCCCCUCAAUCCGUCAUUGUCUCCAUCUCAAAACCCCCCGGCCCUGCAAUCCAUCGGCCACUCAAAUCAUCUUGCUUCCUCUAAAAAUCCCAAAUGCUAUUCGGGUUUCUCACAAUGUCCCUCAUCCUCAUCAUUUAUGUCUAUGUGAAUAUGUGCUUCCUUUUCUGUUUAUCAAAGCUUUGACAUUUCAUCACCACAACUAUAACACC